This 498-nucleotide ribosomal RNA is filed under the name uncultured bacterium. RNAcentral describes it as "partial 16S ribosomal RNA". It matches the Rfam family "Bacterial small subunit ribosomal RNA", at positions 30 to 523 of the family's 1533-position model. The record is from RNAcentral.
AUUGAACGCUGGCGGCAUGCUUUACACAUGCAAGUCGAACGGUAACAGGCCGCAAGGUGCUGACGAGUGGCGAACGGGUGAGUAAUGCAUCGGAACGUGCCCAGUCGUGGGGGAUAACGCAGCGAAAGCUGCGCUAAUACCGCAUACGAUCUAUGGAUGAAAGCGGGGGACCGUAAGGCCUCGCGCGAUUGGAGCGGCCGAUGUCAGAUUAGGUAGUUGGUGGGGUAAAGGCUCACCAAGCCAACGAUCUGUAGCUGGUCUGAGAGGACGACCAGCCACACUGGGACUGAGACACGGCCCAGACUCCUACGGGAGGCAGCAGUGGGGAAUUUUGGACAAUGGGCGCAAGCCUGAUCCAGCAAUGCCGCGUGCAGGAAGAAGGCCUUCGGGUUGUAAACUGCUUUUGUACGGAACGAAACGGUCCUGGUUAAUACCUGGGGCUAAUGACGGUACCGUAAGAAUAAGCACCGGCUAACUACGUGCCAGCCGCCGCAGUAA